CUUCCGUGAUGAUACGAUGACGAGUCAGAAGGGAUGUCCUUGUGCCAUAGCAGCCUGUUCGGUGCCACGUUCUGUGGGGCUGUGCUAAGGCUGCCUUGGGCAGGAUGUCCCGCUCCUUGGAUGAUUUAGAGGCAUUUGUCUGAGAAGG
Molecule: small nucleolar RNA, 148 nt
Filed under: Leptosomus discolor (cuckoo roller)
Lineage: Eukaryota; Metazoa; Chordata; Aves; Leptosomiformes; Leptosomidae
Source: RNAcentral